Molecule: long non-coding RNA, 2517 nt
Organism: Ricinus communis (castor bean)
Lineage: Eukaryota; Viridiplantae; Streptophyta; Magnoliopsida; Malpighiales; Euphorbiaceae
Exons: 2
Source: RefSeq, a predicted model, not a curated record
UAGUUGUUGGUAAAUUGGAUAUUUUAAUUGCCUACGAUUUAGCGAUAAUGUUUGUUGUCCGUAAACUGGUUUUAACAAAAAAUACUAUUUUGCUUUAAACGGUGCCGUUUUUUUGAAGCUUAUUUCUCCUCUACUAUCAAUUUUAUCCCUUUUUGUUCCAUUUCUCUUUUGUUUCCUUUCAUUGAUUUUUACUCUCAAUACUGCCACCAUUGAUGGCGCUCACCACCACCUCCAUUUCUCCAUCACUCACUCUCUCUCUCUCUCUCUCUAUCAUUCACUCUCUCUCUUUUGGGUAACUUCUUUUGCAUCUUUUAUUUUUCUUUUUAAAAAAAAUUGAUAUUUAUGUUAUGUUGUAACAAAUUUUAAUAGUGGAUGUCCUUUAUGAGAUCUUGUAUGGGUAGGUGUUGAUGAAGAGAUAAUUUGCGUAAUGCUAAAGUGAAGAUCUUAAAAUUGAAGAUUUGAAGGAUUUAAGUGUUCUUCUUACAACAAUUGUUCAGGUGAGCAUAAAAAAUUAAAUCUUUAAUCUAGAAGGCAUGAUGAUGGGUGUAGGUGUUCAUAUGAUGGAGGUCUUAGAGGUAUUUUGCUGCUCAAGCAUUAAGAUUGAGCUUUAAUAAGUUCUUUAAUUUGGACAGUCUCAUUGGAGUUUAUGUAUUCAAAUUUUUUAGGAUUUAAUUUGGACAGGGUGUCUGAGCUUAAUAUUACCACUUAUUGAUUUAAUUGAGCUCUUCUGCUAUCAUUGUUGGCGAUAAAGAAAGAAAGAGCCAAUGGUUUUGUUUUCUUGCACACCUUAAUGUUGUGUGCUAAUUUUAUUAUUCUUUCACUUGAUUGCCAAAAAUAGCUGGGUGUAGAUCUCUUAAUAUCUUGCUUUUGGAGCUGCACUUGAAACUAAAGAACCUCAAAUAUGUUGAAGAUGUUUCUAUUGUUAUAAUUUUUAUAAUUUAUCCAUCUCAUGACUUCACAAAAUUCCAAUUAAGCUGUUGCAAUAGCCACUUGGCCAUUACUUGUACGUUGAGAGAUUAAAGAGAGAGAUGACUCUGUCCCUCUCCCUCUGUUAGUUAACGUGCAUCUAUAGAUGUCAUAGGCAGCUGGUAAACUCUUCCUCUCUCAAUCAGAAGAGGACAACCUCAAGUCUUUCCUAUAAAAAGAGAACCAAAAAAAUCAAGUUAAACACUGUUUUUUUUUUUCCUUUUUUUUUUAGAAAAUAAAAAAGAAUUACCCCUCUUAACUACUGAUUUUACUGAACCUUUUUACAUGUUCUCUUGCAAAAUAGAAUUUUAGUGUCUUAAAUGUGUUUGAUAUAAAAGAAAUAAAAAAUUGUCCUUUCAAAGUCUUGAUUUACUGCUUCAAGAAAUGCAAUUAUUAGCAAGCACAACAUGCAUGCAUUGAGUAGUACCGCAAUAUGUUGGUAAGAUUUAUUAUAUAAUAAUUUGCAUCAAAUGAGAAAAUGCACGGGAACUACAUAUGGUUUUGAAUUUGCAGACUUAGUGAGGUCCUUUUGUUUGAAUUUUUAGAUAAUAGUAUUGUAUUCUUAUACUGCAAGUAAGCUAAACUUGUUGCUGAAAGAUACUCGAAGAAUAGAAUGUCUUUAGGUACUGACGGUUCGGAACCAUUAACCCCACACUGGCGGCUGUGUAACAUAUUAUAAGCAUUGGAGAUGACUUGUAAGAUUUUAUCAUAAUCUAGUUUAUCAAUACUUCGAAUAUUUAGUUAUAAUGGUGGUUUUUAAAGACUUAUUAAAUUUAUGACAUAGAAUUGAUAGUAUUAUCCAUGAGAAGUUUAUCAUAAUGUAUUAUUAUAAUUUUUUAAGGUGAAAAACUUGGGCGACAACCAUAUCCACGAGAAGUUUUCGUGCAUGUCCACACGAAAGGACGUGAAGGGAAGACUUUUAUUAGAUAAGUCCAACGCUGUUAAUGUAAGUUAUUAAAUUCUGAAAUAAUGUGUCUUUUAUUCGGUCGUUAUUACCACUUUUACGUGUUUCAAAUGUUAUCAGGAAGAAAUUGAGUCUAGGCGAGAGAAACUAUCACAGAUUAAUGAGAUAGUGAAUGAAAAUGAAUUAUAUAUGCAGUCUUUGGGUGGACAAAGCAAUAGGUGGGUUUACGGUCUUGGCUCCCAAGCAUCCGAGUGUUACAAGACUGGUGGUGCUUCCUCUUCUUUAGCGACAUUUCCACCUGCCCAACCUGCAGAACCAACACCUGAGUUACUGAACACAUUAAAUAAAUUGCAGCAGCAGAUUACCGAGCAGAACCAAUUAAUUCACUUUCUACAAGAGUGUUGUGAAUGUCUGGAAUAACACAUGGUUAGGCCCGAUAAUACAAGAUCUCAUCUACCUGCAUCAAACAAUAAUGACGAGCCUCCUACUUAGUAGUGUCUAUAUUUGACAUACUUUUCUUGUUAAUAGCAUUUUUACUACUUUGAUAUUGUUAUUUUCUAUUGUUUGUAUAUUGUCUACAUUAUGUACAUGUGUACUUUAGUAUCCUUUGUUGUUAUUGAUGGCUUUGAAAUUUUUAUGUUCUAUUA